RNAcentral lists this ribosomal RNA (459 nucleotides) under uncultured bacterium. RNAcentral describes it as "partial 16S ribosomal RNA". It matches the Rfam family "Bacterial small subunit ribosomal RNA", at positions 28 to 523 of the family's 1533-position model. The record is from RNAcentral.
GAUGAACGCUGGCGGCGUGCCUAAUACAUGCAAGUCGAGCGGAAAGGUCUCUUCGGAGAUACUCGAGCGGCGGACGGCUGAGUAACGCGUAGGAACGUACCCCAAACUGAGGGAUAACUGCUCGAAAGAGUAGCUAAUACCGCAUGUGCUCUACGGAGUAAAGCUUCGGCGGUUUGGGAACGGCCUGCGUAAGAUUAGCUUGUUGGUGAGGUAAUGGCUCACCAAGGCGACGAUCUUUAGCUGGUCUGAGAGGAUGAUCAGCCAGACUGGGACUGAGACACGGCCCAGACUCCUACGGGAGGCAGCAGUAGGGAAUUUUCCACAAUGGGCGAAAGCCUGAUGGAGCAACGCCGCGUGCAGGAUGAAGGCUUUCGGGUCGUAAACUGCUUUUAUAUGUGACGAUUUUGACGGUAGCAUAUGAAUAAGGAUCGGCUAACUCCGUGCCAGCAGCCGCGGUAA